This 494-nucleotide ribosomal RNA is filed under the name uncultured bacterium. Its description in RNAcentral is "partial 16S ribosomal RNA". It matches the Rfam family "Bacterial small subunit ribosomal RNA", at positions 28 to 507 of the family's 1533-position model. The record is from RNAcentral.
GACGAACGCUGGCGGCGUGCUUAACACAUGCAAGUCGAACGGUGAAGCGCCUUCCUUUUUGGUUGGUGUGGAUGAGUGGCGAACGGGUGAGUAACACGUGAGUAACCUGCCCCCUUCUUCUGGAUAACCGCAUGAAAGUGUGGCUAAUACAGGAUAUUCUGGUUCUGUCGCAUGAUGGGUCUGGGAAAGAUAUUGUUUCGGUGGGGGAUGGGCUCGCGGCCUAUCAGCUUGUUGGUGGGGUGAUGGCCUACCAAGGCGGUGACGGGUAGCCGGCCUGAGAGGGUGGACGGUCACACUGGGACUGAGGCACGGCCCAGACUGAUACGGGAGGCAGCAGUGGGGAAUAUUGCACAAUGGGCGCAAGUCUGAUGCAGCGACGCCGCGUGAGGGAUGGAGGCCUUCGGGUUGUGAACCUCUUUCGCCAGUGAAGCAGGCCUGCCUCGUUUGUGGGUGGGUUGACGGUAGCUGGAUAAGAAGCGCCGGCUAACUACGUG